GAAGAAAGAAAGACUGCAUGCAGAAAUACCAACUUUUAGGAGUGAAAUGGAUGAUUUUCAAAGUAUUAUUUUGACUCCCAUUAGAAAAAAACAAUCAAAUACUUCAAAUAGAGAUGGACAUAGUAAAAAUGCUGGGUUGACUGAUGACUGUAACUUGAUACCUACGUAUAAAAAGUCUUUCCAAAAAAGCCGAGAUCCUAACUUCAAGAGGCAGAGAAUCAAAAAAAUGUGCAACCAGGAAUGUCCGCGCUUAAAAGAAAAUCAUGUGUAUUCAACUGACAGAGAUGAGGUUAGUUAUGCAAAGCCUAAUCAUACACUCACCUAUUUAUAAAUGUCCAAAGAAAAUCACUGUGAAUUGCAUAAAUUCUUUUUAAGUCACCUUUAACAGGAGCCUGGUAGCAAAGUGGACCUUCUUAGAGAUAUUCCUCUGUUAAUUCUACUCCAGUCAUAUUGAUUUAUUCCUGAAAUGAAGUAAGCAUUUUCAACUGACAGUCCUUUCUAAAUAAAAGAUAUGGAGGUAUGCUUUUUCUGCAUUAAAGAAAACGUGCAUGGAAAUAACAGAAAUAUGCUAAAAAUUUGAACUAUGUAGGCACAACAGAAAUGAAGGUAUGGAAAAGUACUGUAUUUCAGUAAGUGGGUGACAGUGGAGAAACUGCGAAGAACCAUUGCUAUCUUGACAAAGCGAUCAUUUCUUUAGAACUGCUUCAGAUUGUAUUGACAGUAAUAAUGUGUUAUUUCUAAACGCAAAACAGUGUGCAAAUUUACAUAAUUUUUAAUUCCACCAAAAUAAAUAUUUGCAGAACAAUGAAAAAUGUUCCCUGUACACAAACACAAAAACUUUAAACAAGAGAAGAACCCGAAAAGAUUUUACAGCUGAAGAAAUAAACUAUCUUUUGAGUGGAGUGAGAAGAAUAGGUAACCAUUGGAAUGUAAUUUUGUGGUCUUAUCCAUUUCAGAAAGGACGGACAAAUGUUGACCUUUCAAAGAAGUACUACAGGUUACAGUUGCAAAGGCGAGAAAAAACCAAAGAUCAAUAACGCCUUUCAAGAGUAUUUUGGAUCUUGUUGCAGAACGUUGAAGAACAGCAUUUUUAACAGUGACGCACUGUCGCAGCAAUACAAGCCCUUGGAGAAUUUAGAUUGGCUUGGACUCCUGUUUUCAGUGAUAACAUUCAUGACAGAGUUGUUCCGCUUUGUAAAUUGAAGUAACAUGUCAUUGCCUACGUUUGUUAUUUUGGCGGGGGGUUUUGCCUGCCCUUUUUUUUUUUUUUUUUUUUUUGAUAAUGCUGUGUAGCUGACAAAAUACCAGUAGAAUUUAUGAGGUUCUUUGAACCUUCUUGAAUGUUUGAUUUAUGUAACAUUGAUUUGGCUUUUUGUUUGAAGCUCUCUAUAGUUUGCUUUUAUAACAUUUGUAAGAAAAGGCUCUAUUACUAAAAUGAUUAUUUUAUGUCAGAAA
Molecule: long non-coding RNA, 1455 nt
Filed under: Strigops habroptila (Kakapo)
Lineage: Eukaryota; Metazoa; Chordata; Aves; Psittaciformes; Psittacidae
Description: lncRNA (ENSSHBG00005010701.1)
Source: RNAcentral